RNAcentral lists this ribosomal RNA (497 nucleotides) under uncultured bacterium. Its description in RNAcentral is "partial 16S ribosomal RNA". It matches the Rfam family "Bacterial small subunit ribosomal RNA", at positions 28 to 507 of the family's 1533-position model. The record is from RNAcentral.
GAUGAACGCUGGCGGCGUGCCUAAUACAUGCAAGUCGAGCGAACAGACUAGGAGCUUGCUCCUCUGACGUUAGCGGCGGACGGGUGAGUAACACGUGGAUAACCUACCUAUAAGACUGGGAUAACUUCGGGAAACCGGAGCUAAUACCGGAUAAUAUAUUUAAACGCAUGGUUCAAUAGUGAAAGACGGUUUUGCUGUCCCUUAUAGAUGGCUCCGCGCCGCAUUAGCUAGUUGGUAAGGUAACGGCUUACCAAGGCAACGAUGCGAAGCCGACCUGAGAGGGUGAUCGGCCACACUGGAACUGAGACACGGUCCAGACUCCUACGGGAGGCAGCAGUAGGGAAUCUUCCGCAAUGGGCGAAAGCCUGACGGAGCAACGCCGCGUGAGUGAUGAAGGUCUUCGGAUCGUAAAACUCUGUUAUUAGGGAAGAACAAAUGUGUAAGUAACUAUGCACGUCUUGACGGUACCUAAUCAGAAAGCCACGGCUAACUACGUG